UUGAAAGAUGGUUUCGGCUAUCACUUUAGGAUGGACCCGCGGUGCAUUAGUUAGUUGGUGAGGUAAAGGCUCACCAAGACCGUGAUGCAUAGCCGACCUGAGAGGGUAAUCGGCCACACUGGGACUGAGACACGGCCCAGACUCCUACGGGAGGCAGCAGUAGGGAAUCUUCGGCAAUGGACGGAAGUCUGACCGAGCAACGCCGCGUGAGUGAAGAAGGUUUUCGGAUCGUAAAGCUCUGUUGUAAGAGAAGAACGAGUGUGAGAGUGGAAAGUUCACACUGUGACGGUAUCUUACCAGAAAGGGACGGCUAACUACGUGCCAGCAGCCGCGGUAAUACGUAGGUCCCGAGCGUUGUCCG
This 361-nucleotide ribosomal RNA is filed under the name uncultured bacterium. Its description in RNAcentral is "bacterial SSU rRNA". It matches the Rfam family "Bacterial small subunit ribosomal RNA", at positions 200 to 547 of the family's 1533-position model. The record is from RNAcentral.